UCCUCAGUUGUUUCAUUCAGCAGGGAAAAAAAUGAACAGGACAAGAACCAAAAUUUGGACCGCAAAAGAUGCAAAUGAGAGUUUUUACCAAUACAUUCUGAAGGCAAAAUCAGAGCAAGCAGGCUGGUUCAAAUCGAUACCUGUCCUCGAGGACCAUCUUCGAUCAAGUUUAAUGAAUCGAAACUAUCAGUCGCUUCUUCAAGCUCCUCCAUACUGAAAACAUGAUACGGCAUUAGCCCAAGAGUCCCUAUCCGCAUUGCAUGAGACAUGUGCCCUUCAAAAAGGAUCAAAAUUUGGCAUCAGCGAGUUUCGAUGAGAUCAGAAUAGAAACUGAAUCGACAAAUCCUUCUUACUUGCUUCAGCUGUACUUCUUGGCGCAACCUGCAUAAGAGAUUUCCCUGCAGUGGGUGUGUGAAAGGUGCUGACCUCUGCAUCCUCUGUUCUUAUCUUCCUAAACAGCAAGAAGACCAGUAAUCCAAUCAGCACUGCACCAGCGACGACUCCCCCAACAAUGCCAAGUAUAAGGCCCAGCUUGCUCUUGGAUCCACUGAUUUUAUUUGCCGAAGGCAAAAUCGCGGCCAUCGCGCCUUGAUUGCAGUAAGAAUUCGGAUGCUGGAGCUCGAAAUCAUCUGAAUUCAAGCAGUUCCCUGAGCUGAGUACUACUCGGUUCGAGGAAUUCGCUUGGAUGCAUGAAGGCAGGCCUCCCACCAAAAGAUUGUCUGAGAUGUCAACGUAUGCGAGCUUGCUGCCGCAGGACGAAUUCGCCGGAACUUCUCCCGUCAUCCUGUUGCCAGACAAGUCGAGGUACUGCAUUGACGGUAACGAGAACAAGAACGCAGGAAUCCAUCCAUGGAGAUGAUUGGAAGACAAAUCCAGCUUCUGGAGGUGGCCGAAGGAUGCGAGUCGAGGCGGGAGACGGUCUUGGAAGCUGUUGUUUUGAAGGAGUAAGCUGACAAGGCUACUGCUCACAUAGGGGAAUUCUGGCCCGAGGUGAUUCCCCGACAAGUCCAGUUCGGUGAGAGUCGUCAAGGGGCUGAGGUCAGGAACCGUCCCGUUGAAGGAGUUCCCGGUCAAGCAGAGAUUUUGGAGGCUGGUGAUGUUGGAAAUCGCCGGUGGGAUCGGCCCCGAGAAGUAAUUGGAGCUCAAGUUGAGGACUUGGAGCGAGGAGAAGCGGUCCACCUUGCCGGGGAGCGGCCCCCAGAGGCCGAGGGAGACGAGGGAGAGGGUGGUGAGGCCGGAGAGCCUGGCGAGGGUGGUGAAUAAGGAAUCGGAGGAGAAGUUGGCUGACAGGGGCCGGUCGGCGACGCCGACGAUGGAGAGUCCGGUAACGCGGCCACCGGAGCAGGAGAUGGAGAGGGAGAGGGAGGCGGGGAGGUAGCACAAGGCGGUGGCGUUGGACCAGCCGGCGAGCGGCGGCUGGUACUCCAAGAGGCGCUGGAGGCGGAGGAGCGUCUUGUACUGGGAUGGGGACAGCGGUUGGGCCGCCGAAGGGGGAGAGACGAGGAAGACAACCAAGACGGCGGCGCAGAGGCAAGCGAUGGAGUCCCGCGUUAAAAAUCCCAUCUUUAACGAUACGAUUAAGCGUUCAGUGAUCCACUGAAGCCGUGCAAAAGCAGCAGAAAGGAACAGACACAGAGAAGAAGCUCAGAGUUGGCAUGCAAAACAGCGAUGCGCAUCAAAGCUAUGCAUGAAAGAAAAGCUCGUCCGUUUCUGCAACGGCAAAUGUUGUGUCUGCUGGGCGAAGGAGAUGGGUGGACGUGACUCGUGAUCGAACACUUAGCGAUGGGAAGAUGAGGUCUGAGGUUCCUCGGAGCUUUUUGGGGAGCAGCGAGAAGAGCCGCGGGGUGCAGGAGAGGGAAGCGGGGACGGGGGCUGUGCCUUCGGCUUCGACAGCCUACCCACGCGUUCGUCUCACUUGCCACGGCUCUCGCGGUGACCAGAAGUGAACGGACCGCAAUGGCGCACUCGCUGCCGACCUCUCUCUUCUCUCUCCACUGAAGACGAUUGAGAUCGUUAUCUUUCGUUACAUAGUCUUCCAAGAGGAGAUCUAUAAGACAGAGAAAAGGAGACCAUUGAUCAUUAAGGAUUGAAUAGAUGAAGGUUGAAGAUAGAGGGAGCUCUUUCGUGCAACAAAAAGGAAACGUAAGCCAUGCUUUUGUAUGCCAAUUGAGAUGCACAUAAACCUACACAAACUAGUCUUUAUCUUUGACUAACGCUUACACUCUAUCUGGUCCGAGCUUGUAAGGUCCGAGUCCACUUCACACGAUUAGUCAACGUGGAGGACUUGACCCAACCAUAAGCCACCAUCCGCGUGGGUCCAUCUGCCUAAAGUUAGGCCUUUAACCAAGAUGGAUGGCACAUGUAUUCUUUUGGUGUCAUCAUGCAUGCGAUGUACUUUCUUUCCAAGGAAGACCUCAAAGUAAACUUAGGCAAUUGAUAUA
Molecule: long non-coding RNA, 2441 nt
Organism: Musa acuminata AAA Group (dessert banana)
Lineage: Eukaryota; Viridiplantae; Streptophyta; Magnoliopsida; Zingiberales; Musaceae
Exons: 2
Source: RefSeq, a predicted model, not a curated record